Molecule: small nucleolar RNA, 100 nt
Filed under: Dasypus novemcinctus (nine-banded armadillo)
Lineage: Eukaryota; Metazoa; Chordata; Mammalia; Cingulata; Dasypodidae
Description: Small nucleolar RNA SNORA31 (ENSDNOG00000043195.1)
Source: RNAcentral
CUGCUACUAAGGUUCCCACUACAGAUGCAAGAAAAAGAAGGUCCUAAUGCUUUCUGUCUGUCUGGUUGUGGCAGUCAAGGUUGCAUGGGGGAAUACAGGA